CCCCAGGCGCGGACUCGGGCUCCCGCCCCGCCAAGACCCCUCGGACCUCUCCCGAAGGGCGAUCUGCGAGCGAAUUCUUGGAAACUCCAGCAGGAGCCGCGCCGCCAGAUCCUUUAUCCCGGGCGCAGCGGCAGGACGGGACCGGGAGAGGGGAACCCGGGCGCGCGGCGGCCGCAGCCCGCCAGGUCUGGAGCCUCGCCUCUCCCAACCUCAGUUUCCCCGUCUGCCUUGAGCCCCGGCGUGGGCGUGCGGGUGGCGUGGGGAGGUCCUGCAGCUUUUCUUAACGCCGCCCAGCCUCAAGCCCAUAUCUCUGAAAUGGGCUGAUAAGCCAGCCUCAGCCUGGGGGUUAAAUAAGGUAUAACUUCUCGUGCCCUAAAGCGAAAGGCAGGAAGGAACCCCUGCAUGAAUGGAACCCUUUCGUGAACACGAUGAUGAAUGUCUCCAUCGAAUCAAGAUUAUAAUACAAACAGGGUAAUAACAAUAAUUAUGCCUUUUUUCUCUGGGUUUUCCUGUUAUAAAAACAGCUGUGAUAAGGUACCUUUGCUGAGCACGUGGGCUGUGCCAGUCAUUAAUCCUCUAAUUUCACAGCCCCCUGCCCCCUCCCUGGCCCCCUGAGGUUGUCACUAGGAGAGGCCCACGGCACACACUGGGAAACCGAGUCUCCCCGAGGUUGAAUACGUUGCCAGAGGUCAAGGAGCUGGUAAGCGCAGAAUAAGGAUUAUGCCAAAACCCUUUAGGACACUUUUAUAGCUCUUUUUUUACCCCCUUUGGCUGGAUGCAUGGAUGAAUGAAAGGUCAUCCUUUCCUGUAACUGAAUAAGCCUCCGGGAGGUACCUACCCAUGGCUGAGUCCAGAAAACCCCAAGCUGAAAGGCGAGGAUGCAAGAGAGCUUAGGUUCCCAGAAGAAGGGAACAAACACAGAGACUCCCCGUGUAGACAAAGGAUUCAGAGCGGAGUAAAGAAGAGAAAGCAGGUUUGGGGUCAUCUUCUGGGAAGUCAUACGCGCUGAAUCUUACAUCGUGGCGGAAGGCACGGGUCAGAGCACCAGCCCGCACUAGCCAGGAAGCCUGGUGGGCGAUGUUUGAAAAGCACCCAAUACGUAGAUCUUUUUUUUUUCCCCUGGAUCGUUUGUAGGUAAGUUCUGUACCCCAUCGCCCCUUCUUUCGUAAGAGUAGAGAUAUUAUACGUAACCACAGUGCACUCACCAAAUUUGUACAUUGAUACAAAAUAUGUGUGUCUCCUCUUGGUCAGUAUUCCAUCCCUGCCAGUUGAUCUGACCAUGUCCUUUAUUGCAUUUCUUUCCCCACCAUCACAAGAUCCCCCCAGGGUCAGGUUAGGGGUCUCAGAACAUCUGGGUAUUCAAACAUUACCCUUCAGUGAGAAGGGAUGAAAAUAAACGUCCGCUAGUGUCAUGCCAACAUGGAUCCGAGAAUUCCUCGGCCAGGCCCUCAUUCUCCACAUUUCCCGGCUCUGCCGAGACACCCGUGCAGGCCUGUCUCCCUUCUGGGCAGGGGCCACCCAGCACCAUGUGAUCCAAGGUCACGGACGUGUCACUCUGCUGGUGGCUGUGGCUACAGCUGUGCCCUGUGCCGUGAUCCGAGCCAGACAGUCCUGUGGGCGGACUGCACCUUGGAGCCAUCGCCAGCUGCAGGUUCCAAAUGUCCCCUGGCCACGUGCUCCCGCCCACGGGGUUGGAAGCCGCUGUGCAGGGCCACCACGCAGUGUGUGGGUGGCCCUGGAGAAGCAGCCCCCUUACCAGGGGCAAGGCUGUGUGCCUUGGUGCUCAAAAGCUUCACCAAGGGAAAUGCACUGUUUACCCUGAGCGGUCAGGACCAAAAGCAAGAUUUCGCGAUAGUGAGGAAUUCAGGGACCCAAAUACGAGCAAGAAGGCCCUUUCAUCUGACCGUAGAGAAUCUGCUAGACUCUAAAGACGAUUAGUAACGACUGACUGUCACCACGUGCUCCUCACGGGUGUCAUCGCAGCAGGGGGAGUGCCUGGCGCCGAGUGAGCGGGCACUCCGUGAGAUCAGCCAGGCCUGGGAAGUCGUAUCACGCCAAUGAGUUUAUCAGCAGAGCAAGUGAACGGAGGAUGUGAAUGAUGGGCCCUGGAGCCCCGGCUCUGUCUCAGACCUUAUAACACCCUCGAUGAAGGAGAAGGGAGAAGGCGAAGGGGUCCCCGGACAGCCUGAACCCGCUCCGGCGGGUGAGGCCAGGCCUGCAGCCCCGCCAUGCACAGGAGGGCAUGCCUGGAAGGCAGCGGUGAGCAGCACUAGGGGCGGGGAUUGAUCUGCGGUCCUAACACAGUCUCAAGAUGCCCUGGGCCUACCCUGCCACCCUCCGGAGUUCAUGCCUCCGGGCUCAAUCUGCAUUUUUUAAGAUGCCCCCCGACGAUUCCCAUGUGCACCGGUAUUCCAAACGGGGUGAUUCUUUGAGUCUCCUAAACAGGGAAGUACGGGCUGCCCCCGGCAUACAGAGGUGGGGAGACUGGCGGCAUUCCGGGAGGGCCUCCUGGUGGCAGCAACACCUCAGUGGGGUCCUGGAGUAUCCAGGGUGGUCAGUUCCACCAAGAGGGGGCCAAAGAAGGCCUGACAGAUUGAGAGAGACUUCAGGGCUCACCGAAGCCAAGAAAGAAUUUACCACAUGGCUAUAGUUCAUCGUAGCAUGCUGGGGCCGGAGGACAGGGCGGGGGCUCAGAAGGCUUGAUAAAAGGCCAGGAUGGAACCAUAGAAGGGACUUCUCUCACGUUCAGGCAUUUCUACAUUAUCCCAAGGGAGAUGGGGAGGUCCGAUCUGUCGGUCACGGGGCCUACGGACACGAUUUACACCCCGCCGAGAGGCGUUGCCCGUGGUCCCCCAAGAUCCCCGUGUUGCCUUGGUCCCCACACAGCAGUUGAUUUGCUGGGGGAUGACCCCUGGCCAAGGUGUGGUGCAUUUGCCAGAGGGCGGAAGGAUGGGCCAGUCAGACGCCGGCACCUGGGCUGGGGAGAGGGUCUGGACAAGGAGGCCAGGCGAGGCCCAGCAUGAGAGCAAAAGUCAGCCCCAGACGGGUGCCCUCCAUCCCGUGUCUCCGUGAGCCUGGGUUACACAAUCCGUUUCCAGUUUCCACCGAAAUCCAUUUCUCUUACGAUGUCUUCCCAUAAACUCGCCUUUUCCCGAGGAAGCUGGAAUCAGAAUGGCUUCACCGCCAGGAGCUCACUGGGGGACCCUUUUUCUGUCUGGUUUACGGAGGUCAAGAAAAUUCACCUUGUGUGGCGGUUGGUGAAGGUGUGCAGCUGCGUUGCCAGGACAUCGGUGUCCCCUGUCCCACUGGGUGACCUGAAGGAGUUGGAACAGCCCAGGUGUGUUACAGAAAACUCGACCUGGCUUCACCGUGGAGCCAGGCGACCGGCUGGGGACUUCUGCUGGUGGGGACAACGCCACCGAGGAUUCCGUGACUGGCGCAACUUGCGUGAUGUGUGACGAGCUCAGUCAGUGGAGGUCUUCCAGGCAGCCUCUCAACGUCGGUGUUUAAAUUGCUAAAACCAGAACCUGCUUCAGUUCACCAGCCCACGUUCUUUAAGAGGAUUACUCUGCCUGCAAGUGGUGUGAGACCACGCAGAGAGCAGACCAGCUGGUCCUGGACAACUUGAGGAAGAUCUCGCAGCCAGCCCUUGUGGUGACCGGAAGCCCAGUCCAGCGAGCCCCAUUUCUGAAGCAGCUCGUUCAUCAUAGACGGGCCGUAGCUGUGUGAUGCAGACCUCACGUGACAACCAUGCCAGGCACUUCGUGUAUAUGCACAUCCUCCAGUGAACCCGAGCAACGCGUUUUCAGAUAAAUAUUAUCAUCCCAGUCUUACAGUGCAGAGAGUGACCUCAGGGGAGCUAGGGGACUUCUCAAGGUCACUUGGCCAGUAAGUGACGGGGCUGAGGUUUGCAGCCACAUCUGUCUGACCCAAGACCAUUGUCUUCCACCUUCCCUGGGUGCCUCUGCCGUCAUUUCUUGUCAUAUUAUGAUUUCCCAUGUAACCGGUGAUUUAAAUGUGUGACCUACUGGGAUUUCUAUGCGCAAAAUUCUGCAAUUAGAUUUCACUAUGGUGAACUUCUCGCCCUUCAGGAAAGGGGCUCUCAUUUUUGGGGGGGAUCAUAAAAUGUAAUCUUGUGGUGGGAAUAGCUCAGUGGUAGAGCACGUGCUUAGCAUGCAUGAGGUCCUGGGUUCAAUCCCCAGUGCCUCCAAAAAAGAAAAAAGAAAAAUGUGAUCUCACUUCCCCGUGGCUUUGAGUCCAGCGUGAAGGACGGUAUUACAUCCUUUGUUUAUUCAAGAUAGGAAUUUUGACCUGCAACCUUGCCCCCACCUCCGCCGGCUUUUAGGGAGCUUGAGGACUUGGUUUGGAUGCUAGCUUGGGAAUCCAGACCGUCUGAGGCCAGGGACACCCACAGGAUGGGCAGACCCAGAACAGGCAGUGGGAGGAGCUGUUCCUAGAGAGCAAAUGCAGGCGGGCAGUGUAUCCACAAAGCCCACGAGUGGGGGACCCUCCUGACGGUGAGAUGCCCGGUGGCAUCUGAACGUCCAUCGUAGGGCAAGUGGAUGGAGGUGGCUUCACGGUGCGGUCAGGGGCAGAUGUCCACGGCAGGUCCUCGGUGCCCAGGCAAGGACCAUACCCGGCUGCUGUCCAGCAGGGAGUGCGUCAGAGGUCAAGAGCUGUGGACAGGACCAUGUGGAUGCCCCACAGCCAGGACGGGGACACAAGUCUACGCGGGACCUGCCCCCUGAGCACCUCUGUGAGGCCCAUUCAGGUGUCCCUUAGGACAAGCCCCACGAGGCUCAGCUUCGGCAAGGGUCUUCACGGGACGGGAGGUGGAGUCCGGGAAGCAGCUCUAAAAUCCCGGACUGCGAGCCUCAGGGCCAGUGGCUUUGGACUAUGUUUUAAGCAUGUAAACACGACGUGCACUUAACCGACGCCGAUGAAGACAUGACUCUCAUGGGGAGGUUGUAGCUCGGUGGUAGAGCGUGUGCUUAGCAUGUACAAGGUCCUGGGUUCAAUCCCCAGUCCCUCCACCAAAAACAUAAAAAAAUAAAUUAAAAAAGAGAGUUGAUUCCCCGCAAACACCAUGAGAAAUGCAAGGAACUGGAAAGGUGGUUCAGGUGAUGAUGCCAUGGGCCAUCUCAGAGGCUUCCUUAGCGUGGGGGGUGGAAUGGAGGCCAGUGGGAUGCCCAGAGCAGAGAUGUCCAUCCCAGGAGCACCCCUCACAGCGAGGCCACGCAAGCUACCAAGCUGCCCGGGGACCCCAAGGUUCCAGGGAGACCUGAGGCUCCCUCCCUGCCCAUCACACCGACUGCUGAGGACUUUCUGGGGAGUCAUCCCGUCACCUGCAGAGUCCGCUGUCACAGUGCCCCGGGUGGGCGCAGCAGAGGGACAACUAACACUGAGCAGGACCCCGGGAGGCCCUCCUGGGUCAGACCCCUCCCUGUGUCCUCCCCUGCAGCUCCUCUCUGAAGGGCCCAGCUCAUAGCAUCUCACGUAUAUUUCCUGAGUGUUUCAGAUGCUCAAAACCACCACCAAAGAGAAGAAAUUAACUACUUGAUGAUGGAGAGCAUGUGGCCCCUGGACCUUCUGGUGCCUGGGGGGUUGAUGGUGUUGACCGUCCUGUUACCCCAACAUCAGCCAGUCAGAGGCUUGUGCACGAGCUCAUCACGUACCCUGAGACCCCUGUCCCUCAGCUGACCUUUAAAUAUGCUUUGCUGAAACCCUUUGCAGAGUUCGGGGUUUUGGGGGGCAGAAGCCUCCUCGCUCAGCCCUGCAAUAAAACUUUCGCUGCUCCAACCUCCUACA
Molecule: long non-coding RNA, 5808 nt
Organism: Camelus dromedarius (Arabian camel)
Lineage: Eukaryota; Metazoa; Chordata; Mammalia; Artiodactyla; Camelidae
Exons: 4
Source: RefSeq, a predicted model, not a curated record